RNAcentral lists this ribosomal RNA (418 nucleotides) under uncultured Glomeromycotina. Its description in RNAcentral is "SSU rRNA". It matches the Rfam family "Eukaryotic small subunit ribosomal RNA", at positions 671 to 1090 of the family's 1831-position model. Lineage: Eukaryota; Fungi; Glomeromycota. The record is from RNAcentral.
CGGUACGUACUGGUGUUACUGAUUCCUACCUUCUGACGAACCAUCAUGUCAUUAGUUUGGUGUGGUGGGGAAUCAGGACUGUUACUUUGAAAAAAUUAGAGUGUUUAAAGCAGGCUCGCGCUUGAAUACAUUAGCAUGGAAUAAUGAAAUAGGACGUUGAUCCUAUUUUGUUGGUUUCUAGGAUUGACGUAAUGAUUAAUAGGGAUAGUUGGGGGCAUUAGUAUUCAAUUGUCAGAGGUGAAAUUCUUGGAUUUAUUGAAGACUAACUACUGCGAAAGCAUUUGCCAAGGAUGUUUUCAUUAAUCAAGAACGAGAGUUAGGGGAUCGAAGACGAUCAGAUACCGUCGUAGUCUUAACCAUAAACUAUGCCGACUAGGGAUCGGAUGAUGUUAUUUUUAAUGACUCAUUCGGCGCCUUA